This 583-nucleotide ribosomal RNA is filed under the name uncultured bacterium. Its description in RNAcentral is "partial 16S ribosomal RNA". It matches the Rfam family "Bacterial small subunit ribosomal RNA", at positions 355 to 1375 of the family's 1533-position model. The record is from RNAcentral.
CUAAGAAUAUUCCGCAAUGGACGGAAGUCUGACGGAGCGACGCCGCGUGGAUGACGAAGGCCGAAAGGUUGUAAAGUUCUUUUGCUGGGGAAGAGUAACCGCAGGAGGGAAUGCCUGUGGGAUGACAAGAACCGGCGAAUAAGCCCCGGCCAACUACGUGCCAGCAGCCGCGGUAACACGUAGGGGGCGAGCGUUGUUCGGAAUUACUGGGCGUAAAGGGCAUGUAGGCGGCUUGGAAAGCCUGGCGUGAAAGUCUGCAGCUUAACUGCAGGGGUGCGCUGGGAACUGCUGAGCUUGAGUGACGGAGAGGGAGCUGGAAUUCCUGGUGUAGGGGUGAAAUCUGUAGAUAUCAGGAAGAACACCGAUGGCGAAGGCAAGCUCCUGGCCGAUGACUGACGCUGAGGUGCGAAAGUGUGGGGAUCAAACAGGAUUAGAUACCCUGGUAGUCCACACAGUCAACGAUGUGCACUAGGUGCUGGGGCGGUAGCUUCGGUGCCGGAGCGAACGUGGUAAGUGCACCGCCUGGGGAGUAUGCUCGCAAGGGUGAAACUUAAAUGAAUUGACGGGGUCAUAGCUGUUUCCU